GUCCUCGCUUUGGCAGCACAUAUACUAAAAUUGGAUACAGAGAAGAUUAGCAUGGCCCCUACGCAAGGAUGACACGCAAAUUUGUGAAGUGUUCCAUAAAAAA
RNAcentral lists this small nuclear RNA (103 nucleotides) under Castor canadensis (American beaver). The record is from RNAcentral. Lineage: Eukaryota; Metazoa; Chordata; Mammalia; Rodentia; Castoridae.